CCUAACGAGCGCAACCCUUGUCCUUAGUUACCAGCACGUUAUGGUGGGCACUCUAAGGAGACUGCCGGUGACAAACCGGAGGAAGGUGGGGAUGACGUCAAGUCAUCAUGGCCCUUACGGCCUGGGCUACACACGUGCUACAAUGGUCGGUACAAAGGGUUGCCAAGCCGCGAGGUGGAGCUAAUCCCAUAAAACCGAUCGUAGUCCGGAUCGCAGUCUGCAACUCGACUGCGUGAAGUCGGAAUCGCUAGUAAUCGUGAAUCAGAAUGUCACGGUGAAUACGUUCCCGGGCCUU
This 295-nucleotide ribosomal RNA is filed under the name uncultured Pseudomonas sp. RNAcentral describes it as "partial 16S ribosomal RNA". It matches the Rfam family "Bacterial small subunit ribosomal RNA", at positions 1088 to 1382 of the family's 1533-position model. The record is from RNAcentral. Lineage: Bacteria; Pseudomonadati; Pseudomonadota; Gammaproteobacteria; Pseudomonadales; Pseudomonadaceae.